UCGGGAAUUUUGGGCAAUGGGCGAAAGCCUGACCCAGCAACGCCGCGUGAAGGAUGAAGUAUUUCGGUAUGUAAACUUCGAAAGAAUAGGAAGAAUAAAUGACGGUACUAUUUAUAAGGUCCGGCUAACUACGUGCCAGCAGCCGCGGUAAUACAGAGGUGGCAAGCGUUGUUCGGAUUUAUUGGGUGUAAAGGGUCCGUAGGUGGUCUAACAAGUCUGAUGUGAAAUCCCAUGGCUCAACCGUGGAACUGCAUUGGAAACUGUUGGACUUGAGUACCGCAGAGGUAAAGGGAAUUCCCGGUGUAAGGGUGAAAUCUGUAGAUAUCGGGAGGAACACCAGUGGCGAAGGCGCUUUACUGGGCGGUUACUGACACUGAGGGACGAAAGCAAGGGGAGCAAACAGGAUUAGAUACCCACGUAGUCCCUGAGCGGGCUGGCAAGGCGCAU
RNAcentral lists this ribosomal RNA (447 nucleotides) under uncultured bacterium. RNAcentral describes it as "bacterial SSU rRNA". It matches the Rfam family "Bacterial small subunit ribosomal RNA", at positions 355 to 825 of the family's 1533-position model. The record is from RNAcentral.